Molecule: ribosomal RNA, 447 nt
Filed under: uncultured bacterium
Lineage: Bacteria
Description: partial 16S ribosomal RNA
Rfam family: Bacterial small subunit ribosomal RNA
Source: RNAcentral
UUCCAGACUCCUACGGGAGGCAGCAGUGGGGGAUAUUGCACAAUGGGGGGAACCCUGAUGCAGCGACGCCGCGUGGGUGAAGGAGCGUUUCGGCGCGUAAAGCCCUAUCGGCAGGGAAGAAGGAGGACGGUACCUGACUAAGAAGCCCCGGCUAACUACGUGCCAGCAGACGCGGUAAUACGUAGGGGGCAAGCGUUAUCCGGAUUUACUGGGUGUAAAGGGGGCGCAGACGGCAGCGCAAGCCAGGAGUGAAAGCCCGGGGCCCAACCCCGGGACUGCUCUUGGAACUGCGCGGCUGGAGUGCAGGAGGGGCAGGCGGAAUUCCUGGUGUAGCGGUGAAAUGCGUAGAUAUCAGGAGGAACACCGGUGGCGAAGGCGGCCUGCUGGACUGCAACUGACGUUGAGGCCCGAAAGCGUGGGGAGCAAACAGGAUUAGAUCCCCGCGUA